RNAcentral lists this ribosomal RNA (521 nucleotides) under uncultured bacterium. RNAcentral describes it as "bacterial SSU rRNA". It matches the Rfam family "Bacterial small subunit ribosomal RNA", at positions 47 to 523 of the family's 1533-position model. The record is from RNAcentral.
CUUAAGACAUGCAAGUCGAACGAAGUGGCCCAAUGAAGAUGGAGUGCUUGCACAAAGUCAGAUUUGGAUUCCCACUUAGUGGCGCAAGGGUGAGUAACACGUGGGUAAUCUGCCUUCGAGACUGGAAUAACAGUUAGAAAUGAUUGCUAAUGCCGGAUGAUAUACACGAGGUAAACUUGUGUAUUAAAAGAGGCCUUUAAAGCCUCGCUUGAAGAUGAGCCCGCGCCGUAUUAGCUAGUUGGUAAGGUAAUGGCUUACCAAGGCAACGAUGCGUAGCCGACCUGAGAGGGUGAUCGGCCACACUGGGACUGAGACACGGCCCAGACUCCUACGGGAGACAGCAGUUAGGAAUAUUCGUCAAUGGAGGAAACUCUGAACGAGCAAUGCCGCGUGAAGGAUGACGGUCCUAUGGAUUGUAAACUUCUGUUGUUAGGGAAGAACGACUUAAGUAGGAAAUGACUUAAGAGUGACGGUACCUUUCAAGAAAGCUCCGGCUAACUACGUGCCAGCAGCCGCGGUAA